UACGUAGGGUGCGAGCGUUAAUCGGAAUUACUGGGCGUAAAGCGUGCGCAGGCGGUGAUGUACGACAGUUGUGAAAUCCCCGGGCUUAACCUGGGAACUGCAUUUGUGACUGCAUCGCUGGAGUGCGGCAGAGGGGGAUGGAAUUCCGCGUGUAGCAGUGAAAUGCGUAGAUAUGCGGAGGAACACCGAUGGCGAAGGCAGCCCCCUGGGCCGACACUGACGCUCAGGCACGAAAGCGUGGGGAGCAAACAGG
This 253-nucleotide ribosomal RNA is filed under the name uncultured bacterium. RNAcentral's name for it is "partial 16S ribosomal RNA". It matches the Rfam family "Bacterial small subunit ribosomal RNA", at positions 524 to 776 of the family's 1533-position model. The record is from RNAcentral.